UGGGGAAUAUUGGACAAUGGGGGCAACCCUGAUCCAGCAAUGCCGCGUGUGUGAAGAAGGCCUUCGGGUUGUAAAGCACUUUCGUUUGGGAGGAAGUUAUGUAGGUUAAGAGACAGCAUAAUUGACUGUACCGAAAGGAUAAGCACCGGGUAACUCUGUGUCAGCAGCCGCGGUACUACAGAGGGUGCGAGCGUUAAUAGGCGUUACUGGGCGUGAAGGGCGCGUCGGCGGUUUGAUAAGAUUGAUGGG
RNAcentral lists this ribosomal RNA (249 nucleotides) under uncultured Coxiellaceae bacterium. RNAcentral's name for it is "partial 16S ribosomal RNA". It matches the Rfam family "Bacterial small subunit ribosomal RNA", at positions 355 to 596 of the family's 1533-position model. Lineage: Bacteria; Pseudomonadati; Pseudomonadota; Gammaproteobacteria; Legionellales; Coxiellaceae. The record is from RNAcentral.